AUGCUCACUGAUGGGUGCUGUCCGACGCUCACUGAUGGGUGCUGUCCUACGCUCACUGAUGGGUGCUGUCCUACGCUCACUGAUGGGUGCUGUCAGACACUCACUGAUGGGUGCUAUUGGAAACUCACUGAUGGGUGCUGCCCUACACUCACUGAUGGGUGCUGUCCUACACUCACUAAUGGGUGCUGUCCUACACUCACUGAUGGGUGCUGUCCUACGCUCACUGAUGGGUGCUGUCCUACACUCACUAAUGGGUGCUGUCCUACACUCACUGAUGGGUGCUGUCCUACGCUCACUGAUGGGUGCUGUCAGACACUCACUGAUGGGUGCUAUUGGAAACUCACUGAUGGGUGCUGCCCUACACUCACUGAUGGGUGCUGUCCUACACUCACUAAUGGGUGCUGUCCUACGCUCACUGAUGGGUGCUGUUGGAUGCUCACUGAUGGGUGCUGUCCUACGCUCACUGGUGGGUGCUGGAAUCGGAGUCUCCUCCCCCGAAGCUUUGUCAUUGCAGUGAGCGAUGGUGGCCAUGCUGGUGUCAGGACCGCCACCGGCACGUGCUCCACACAGGGUCCGACUCCUCACCUGGCAUCAGGUAACGGCGCUGGAGCUGAGGCCGCUUCCUCUUCACCUUGCCUGGUUGCUCUGAGCAGUGUGGACGGACACCACCUGAACCUGACUCCAUAUACUCAAGACAGGCCAGCGUCUCUCCUUCCCCUCCUCCCAGACUCAGGCUCAGGCCCUGCAGCCCCCGAGACAGGACAGGGCUCUGGGGUGAGGACGGCAGAGCGAUUCUGAGCUGGGACUCAGAGCGAACCUUGAUGACAACGCCACUGGGACAAAUGGUUCCUGGGCACCCAAGGUCAGGGUGCGCUUUCAACGCUUAGCUUUGCCAAGUGGUGACCGUUGUUGCUGAAGUUCUGGGGCGCUCUGGGCCCUUCUCUGUGGGUGCACCUGUCCAACGGGUUUUCACUGGGGACAAAUUGGGCUUUAAAACGGAGAAGGAGGGCUUGUGUGAGGCAGCUUGUUUGAAGGCAUGUGAUUCACAAAGUGCCACCUGGGAGCCCUCUCUCUCCUCCAGGCACAGCCGCUCUGAGCUCUGAGGCGCCCCCCGGCCGUCCUGUGCAGCUGUCUCUGCUGUGGACUGUGAUGAGACACAGGAGCCCUUCUGUGACCCUCCCCCCUCCGCCCUGUCCGUGGGAUAAAGCCUGAGGCUCUAUCCCCGGGGCCCUGGGCAGACUCAGACCCGAGAGCUGAGCCAUGAAAGCAGCCAUCGCCAAAGAAAUCGGGCCCCGUGCUGUCUCCAGGACGCACGAUGCGGAAGUCUCCCUGGCACACCGAGACGCUGUGCACUCCAGCUCACUCUGUUUGCAGCUCAUGACAAUUUUAUUCAUGAAAAUAUCAGAGACAGAUGGUGAGAUAUUUUCCUUUUAGGAAUGACAUAGCAUUUGGAGAUAGGUGAUUCAUUCUGGUUUUGCAUAAUCAGCAUUUUGGCUGAUAUUUUAACAAAAAAUAUCACGUUUCUUCUUAAAAUUUAUUUUCUUUGAGAAGCAGAAAGCUGAGAGGCAGAUGCAAGAGAGAUGGAGAGAACUCCCAUCUGCUGGUUCACUUUCCAAGUUCCUGCAGUGGCUGGGAGUGUGCCCAGCCAGAUCCCAGGAGUUGGAACUCAAUCCAUGUUGCCUCCCAGGGCUCACAUCAGCAGGAGGCUGGAGCUGGGAGAUGGAGCUGGGAGGUGGACCCCUGUACUCCAGCACGGAAAGCAGGCGUCGCACCAGCAGCUUCCCUGCUGAGCCAAACG
Molecule: long non-coding RNA, 1798 nt
Organism: Oryctolagus cuniculus (rabbit)
Lineage: Eukaryota; Metazoa; Chordata; Mammalia; Lagomorpha; Leporidae
Source: Ensembl